This 435-nucleotide long non-coding RNA is filed under the name Panax ginseng (ginseng). RNAcentral describes it as "long non-coding RNA (PGIN_LNC001899)". The record is from RNAcentral. Lineage: Eukaryota; Viridiplantae; Streptophyta; Magnoliopsida; Apiales; Araliaceae.
GUUAGUCAAAAUAUUCCUCACCCACCCACUCAAAAAGUAUUCUUCACCCACCCACUCAUCACCCACCCACUACACUUUGUUUGCCAUUUGUUUGAAUUGUUUGCCCAACUCAUGAUUACUCUUCUCCUCCAUUGCACUAUAAAAGGGAAGCUAAGCUUGAGGAUCAAAUACACCAAAACCAACUCUCUCUCAAGUCUCAUCCGAGAGCAAUCCAAGAGUUGGAAGAAAUAGAGAGUGAGAGAAAGAAGCUUCUAUGAAGCUUUAGAAAAUAGAGAGGGAGAAAGAUAGUUCAAAUAGAAGGGUGUUUUAUUUGGGUUCCAUCACAUAUUUAUUGUGGUGAAGUAAUUUGAGUUUGUACUCAAAUUAAGAUAUCUUUGUAUUCUCUCAUAUUAUUCUAGUGGAUUUUUCGGAGAUUGUCCCGUGAUUUUUACCUCU